UCCGGCUUACACCGGCGGUCUCCUGUGAGUCCCCAUCUUUCAUGCUGGUAACACAGGACGAGGGUUGCGCUCGUUGGCGGACUUAACCGUACACCUCACGGCACGAGCUGACGACAGCCAUGCAACAAGUGUCUUCACGUCUCCUUGUGGGAGAGGAGCCUAUCUCUAGGCUUUGCGAUCGAUGUCAAACCUGGGUAAGGUUCUUCGGUUAGUAUCGAAUUAAUCCACAUGCUCCACCGCUUGUGCGGGUCCCCGUCAAUUCAUUUGAGUUUCAACCUUGCGGCCGUACUCCCCAGGCGGGAUACUUAAUGCGUUAGCUGCGGCACAAGAGGGGUCGAUACCUCUUACGCCUAGUAUCCAUCGUUUAGGGCGUGGACUAC
Molecule: unclassified non-coding RNA, 380 nt
Filed under: uncultured Armatimonadota bacterium
Lineage: Bacteria; Bacillati; Armatimonadota
Description: uncultured Armatimonadetes bacterium contains 16S-23S intergenic spacer region
Source: RNAcentral